RNAcentral lists this ribosomal RNA (541 nucleotides) under uncultured bacterium. RNAcentral's name for it is "bacterial SSU rRNA". It matches the Rfam family "Bacterial small subunit ribosomal RNA", at positions 777 to 1317 of the family's 1533-position model. The record is from RNAcentral.
AAUAGAUACCCUGGUAGUCCAUGCCGUAAACGAUGUCUACUAGCCGUUGGGGCCUUUGAGGCUUUAGUGGCGCAGCUAACGCGAUAAGUAGACCGCCUGGGGAGUACGGUCGCAAGACUAAAACUCAAAUGAAUUGACGGGGGCCCGCACAAGCGGUGGAGCAUGUGGUUUAAUUCGAUGCAACGCGAAGAACCUUACCUGGUCUUGACAUAGUAAGAACUUUCCAGAGAUGGAUUGGUGCCUUCGGGAACUUACAUACAGGUGCUGCAUGGCUGUCGUCAGCUCGUGUCGUGAGAUGUUGGGUUAAGUCCCGCAACGAGCGCAACCCUUUUCCUUAUUUGCCAGCGGGUUAAGCCGGGAACUUUAAGGAUACUGCCAGUGACAAACUGGAGGAAGGCGGGGACGACGUCAAGUCAUCAUGGCCCUUACGACCAGGGCUACACACGUGCUACAAUGGUCGGUACAAAGGGUUGCUACCACGCGAGUGGAUGCUAAUCUCAAAAAGCCGAUCGUAGUCCGGAUUGGAGUCUGCAACUCGACU